Molecule: ribosomal RNA, 440 nt
Filed under: uncultured bacterium
Lineage: Bacteria
Description: partial 16S ribosomal RNA
Rfam family: Bacterial small subunit ribosomal RNA
Source: RNAcentral
CCUACGGGUGGCAGCAGUAGGGAAUAUUGCUCAAUGGGGGAAACCCUGAAGCAGCAACGCCGCGUGGAGGAUGAAGGUUUUAGGAUUGUAAACUCCUUUUGGGAGAGAAGAUUAUGACGGUAUCUAACGAAUAAGCACCGGCUAACUCCGUGCCAGCAGCCGCGGUAAUACGGAGGGGGCAAGCGUUACUCGGAAUCACUGGGCGUAAAGAGUGCGUAGGCGGGGUAAUAAGUCAGAUGUGAAAUCCGGUGGCUUAACCGCGGAACUGCAUUUGAAACUGUUACUCUGGAGUGUGGGAGAGGUAAGUGGAAUUCUUGGUGUAGGGGUGAAAUGCGUAGAGAUCAAGAGGAAUACUCGUGGCGAAGGCGGCCUACUGGAACGUUACUGACGCUGAUGCACGAAAGCGUGGGGAGCAAACAGGAUUAGAUACCCGUGUAGUC